Vidua macroura (Pin-tailed whydah) is the source of this 606-nucleotide long non-coding RNA. RefSeq lists it as uncharacterized. Lineage: Eukaryota; Metazoa; Chordata; Aves; Passeriformes; Viduidae. The transcript has 3 exons. The record is from RefSeq and is a predicted model, not a curated record.
UGUCCUGGGCUCUUUGAUGGGAUCUGUCUAUCCUACAUUAGGUCAAAACACCUAAGGAAUUUAAACAGUUGUUUUCAGAGGGAGUGACUGCAGUAACCAGCCUUACAGACUCAGCUGCCACUUCCCAGCUGCUGGAAGAGGUUUUCAGAGACAGUCAACUGAGUCUGGGGAUUUGUCUGAACCACCAUCUGAAAAUUAUUCAGUGCUUUCCUUGGACUUUGGCCACUACAGGCAAGAUCCAGGUCUGGACUUCCUUGGCAUACAAAGCACAGAAGAGGGGUGUCCUGGCAGCUGCGUUUUAAAGCUCUGCUUAAGUGACUGUGAAGGGCCAGAUGGACUCCAGCCCUGAAGACCUGAGUGCCCUAUUUAGUGGGGAUGCAGUGAGUUUUGGUGUGCAGGCUGUCUCAGUAUUAUUCUCCAGCCCUGGUUAGGAGCACUCCAUCCAGGCUGGAUGUCCAGAUCCAUUCGGCCAACAGACUGCAGGAACAAGUCUGGAACAGCCUUGAAGGAUGAUGGAGGAGGGAAAGCAACUCCAAGGCCCAGGAGUGAGCUAGCACAGGAAGGGAAUUCUGAGACUGCCUGUGUACAACCCCUGUUCUGCAGCCU